UGUGCCUACGGGAGGCAGCAGUGGGGAAUAUUGCACAAUGGGGGAAACCCUGAUGCAGCGACGCCGCGUGAGUGAAGAAGUAUUUCGGUAUGUAAAGCUCUAUCAGCAGGGAAGAUAAUGACGGUACCUGAGUAAGAAGCCCCGGCUGACUACGUGCCAGCAGCCGCGGUAAUACGUAGGGGGCAAGCGUUAUCCGGAUUUACUGGGUGUAAAGGGAGCGUAGACGGCAUGGCAAGUCCGAAGUGAAAGCCCGGGGCUCAA
Molecule: ribosomal RNA, 261 nt
Filed under: uncultured bacterium
Lineage: Bacteria
Description: partial 16S ribosomal RNA
Rfam family: Bacterial small subunit ribosomal RNA
Source: RNAcentral